This 467-nucleotide ribosomal RNA is filed under the name uncultured bacterium. RNAcentral describes it as "partial 16S ribosomal RNA". It matches the Rfam family "Bacterial small subunit ribosomal RNA", at positions 28 to 506 of the family's 1533-position model. The record is from RNAcentral.
GACGAACGCUGGCGGCGUGCUUAACACAUGCAAGUCGAACGGAAAGGCCCUGCUUUUGUGGGGUGCUCGAGUGGCGAACGGGUGAGUAACACGUGAGUAACCUGCCCUUGACUUUGGGAUAACUUCAGGAAACUGGGGCUAAUACCGGAUAGGAGCUCCUGCUGCAUGGUGGGGGUUGGAAAGUUUCGGCGGUUGGGGAUGGACUCGCGGCUUAUCAGCUUGUUGGUGGGGUAGUGGCUUACCAAGGCUUUGACGGGUAGCCGGCCUGAGAGGGUGACCGGCCACAUUGGGACUGAGAUACGGCCCAGACUCCUACGGGAGGCAGCAGUGGGGAAUAUUGCACAAUGGGCGGAAGCCUGAUGCAGCAACGCCGCGUGCGGGAUGACGGCCUUCGGGUUGUAAACCGAUUUCGCCUGUGACGAAGCGUGAGUGACGGUAAUGGGUAAAGAAACACCGGCUAACUACGU